RNAcentral lists this unclassified non-coding RNA (303 nucleotides) under uncultured fungus. RNAcentral describes it as "partial contains 5.8S ribosomal RNA, internal transcribed spacer 2, and large subunit ribosomal RNA". The stretch from base 1 to 52 matches the Rfam family "5.8S ribosomal RNA", at positions 103 to 154 of the family's 154-position model. The record is from RNAcentral. Lineage: Eukaryota; Fungi.
AACGCAUCUUGCGCUCCUUGGUAUUCCGAGGAGCAUGCCUGUUUGAGUGUCAUGGUAUUCUCAACCCCAGCCUGCUUUUGGCAAGUUGUGGAUUGGAUGUGGGGGAGACUCUUGCUGGUGAUGCAUCAUCAGCUCCCCUGAAAUUUAUUAGUACAGAUGCUGUCCUGUGUGCUUCCUCGGUGUAAUAAUUAUCUACGCUGUGGACACAAUGACACUUGUGAUGUCUGUGCUUCAAACCGUCCUUUGUCUGGACAAUUCUUGACAUCUGACCUCAAAUCAGGCAGGACUACCCGCUGAACUUAA